Molecule: long non-coding RNA, 1480 nt
Organism: Bubalus bubalis (water buffalo)
Lineage: Eukaryota; Metazoa; Chordata; Mammalia; Artiodactyla; Bovidae
Exons: 3
Source: RefSeq, a predicted model, not a curated record
CCCCUCCCCCAGCCCUGGGAGCAGCCGGAGCCCUGUGGGUGCAGUCAGAUCGCAAUGGGAACCAGCCAUCACAUCUCUGACAGUCCCGCAGGCCUGCUGACAGGAAAGCUGCGGAACCAAGGGAAGCAGCUUCUGACUGGAAAAGUGAAAGGAGCCAAAAGCCAAAAGGCUCAGAUUACUUGUAGGGGCUGGUCUGGGAGGCCCUCGUCCAAGCUCUCAGCUCAGAGGAGAUGACGAAGAGACUGGAGACAAGGAAGGUAAAAUCGAACCUGUCCUGGCAGUUGCUGAUCCAGUCGCCACCGCAAGGAGGAAGUCACUGCUGCGUGUGCUUCUGAAACUUCCAGCCAAGACCCAGAAUCACAGAGUGGGGCCACCGCUUCUAGGCCGGCCAACAGGCAGCUGGGAACCAUGGGCGUCAGCAGGCUGCCCUGGAGUGGGAGGCAGGGCCCCUGAACCUCAGGGCUGCCGUCAGCACCUGGAGGACGAAAGACGUUGGUAAGAAGGACCAGGAGGCCCAUCCGCUGCUGGGUUUGCCUGGACAGCUGAGCCGAGUUGAGGACUCCCACUCACAUGGCCUGAUGGGAUCUGCAAGACCUGGGGACCUUAUUAAUUCACAAGGAGGGCCAAAAGAAGCAGGAAGAGCACUGACCAGCAUGGCCCAGGGCCCCCAACCUGUUCCUGACUGUACCUUGGGCUAUGAGCCUUCCUGCUCCUCCACAGAGUGUGCAUGGAAGGUGUGGAGAGGCCACGACACAGUCCACAUCUCAGGACAUAACCAGUGGUGUCAGGAAACAGACUAAGUGUAGCCAGCUUGAGGCCAACAUUUUAGCUCAGUUUUCACAAGGUCACCUAAUCUUUAAAUCGGAGAGGAUGGCAGGUGCUUGAGCUAUCCAGGUGUGAUCCUCGCUCCAUGGCAUGAGCUCAGAUGUGCUGCAAACCAUGGCUCUCAAAUCUCCCUUCUACACCCCUGUCCCAACACCUGACAUCUAGACCAAGAAGGUCAUUCCUUGAGUCACAGGGUUGGCAAACAGGUAUUAUUGCAAGUGCCAACUCCAAGUUAUUGACAUUAGAUUUUGUUUCAGAAAGAUUCUCAGGCCUUUUCUGGUCUCAGCGGGAUGUUUCCAAUCAAUUAGCAGUGUCUGCAAUGGACACUGGAAAAGAAGUGCCAAUGGUUUUGUACAGAAUUACUGUCCUUAAAAAACACUUUGUUUUUAUAUUUACAGAGCAACUAUAUGGCCAGUAGAGAAUGCGUGAACUUGUAAUGACUAACAACCAUAUCAGGGCCUUGAGGGCAUAGGAGGCGGAACAGGGACUUUCUUUAUUACUGUUAUUAUCAUUCUAACUUUUAUCUUACAUUGUAAUAUAGCUGAUUAACAAUGUUGUGAUAGUUUCAGGUGGACAGCAAAGGGACUCAGCCAUACAUAUACAUGUAUCCAUUCUUCCCCAAACUCCCCUCCUAUCCAGGCUGCCACAUGACAUU